RNAcentral lists this ribosomal RNA (455 nucleotides) under uncultured bacterium. RNAcentral's name for it is "bacterial SSU rRNA". It matches the Rfam family "Bacterial small subunit ribosomal RNA", at positions 340 to 786 of the family's 1533-position model. The record is from RNAcentral.
UACGGAAGGCAGCAGUGGGGAAUAUUGCACAAUGGGCGCAAGCCUGAUGCAGCCAUGCCGCGUGUAUGAAGAAGGCCUUCGGGUUGUAAAGUACUUUCAGUCGUGAGGAAGGUGUUAAGGUUAAUAACCUUAGCAAUUGACGUUAGCGACAGAAGAAGCACCGGCUAACUCCGUGCCAGCAGCCGCGGUAAUACGGAGGGUGCGAGCGUUAAUCGGAAUUACUGGGCGUAAAGGGCACGCAGGCGGUUAAUUAAGUUGGAUGUGAAAUCCCCGGGCUUAACCUGGGAAUGGCAUUCAAGACUGGUUAGCUAGAGUCUUGUAGAGGGGGUUAGAAUUCCAUGUGUAGCGGUGAAAUGCGUAGAGAUGUGGAGGAAUACCGGUGGCGAAGGCGGCCCCUGGACAAAGACUGACGCUCAUGUGCGAAAGCGUGGGGAGCAAACCAGGGAUUAGAUACC